Molecule: ribosomal RNA, 429 nt
Filed under: Gemmatimonadota bacterium
Lineage: Bacteria; Pseudomonadati; Gemmatimonadota
Description: Gemmatimonadetes bacterium partial 16S ribosomal RNA
Rfam family: Bacterial small subunit ribosomal RNA
Source: RNAcentral
UAGGGAAUCUUCGGCAAUGGACGAAAGUCUGACCGAGCAACGCCGCGUGAGUGAAGAAGGUUUUCGGAUCGUAAAACUCUGUUGCUAGAGAAGAACAAGGACGUUAGUAACUGAACGUCCCAUGACGGUAUCUAACCAGAAAGCCACGGCUAACUACGUGCCAGCAGCCGCGGUAAUACGUAGGUGGCAAGCGUUGACCGGAUUUAUUGGGCGUAAAGCGAGCGCAGGCGGUUUCUUAAGUCUGAUGUGAAAGCCCCCGGCUCAACCGGGGAGGGUCAUUGGAAACUGGAAGACUUGAGUGCAGAAGAGGGGAGUGGAAUUCCAUGUGUAGCGGUGAAAUGCGUAGAUAUAUGGAGGAACACCAAUGGCGAAGGCGGCUCUCUGGUCUAAUACUGACGCUGAGGCUCGAAAGCGUGGGGAGCAAACAGG